RNAcentral lists this ribosomal RNA (300 nucleotides) under uncultured bacterium. RNAcentral's name for it is "bacterial SSU rRNA". It matches the Rfam family "Bacterial small subunit ribosomal RNA", at positions 399 to 691 of the family's 1533-position model. The record is from RNAcentral.
GCGUGAGUGAAGAAGGCCUUCGGGUUGUAAAGCUCUUUCAGGUGGAAAGAAAACGCAUAGGUUAAUACCUUGUGCGGAUGACGGUACCAUCAGAAGAAGCACCGGCUAACUACGUGCCAGCAGCCGCGGUAAUACGUAGGGUGCGAGCGUUAAUCGGAAUUACUGGGCGUAAAGCGUGCGCAGGCGGUUAUGUAAGACAGAUGUGAAAUCCCCGGGCUCAACCUGGGAACUGCGUUUGUGACUGCAUAACUAGAGUACGGCAGAGGGAGGUGGAAUUCCGCGUGUAGCAGUGAAAUGCGU